This 402-nucleotide ribosomal RNA is filed under the name Enterobacter kobei. RNAcentral's name for it is "partial 23S ribosomal RNA". It matches the Rfam family "Bacterial large subunit ribosomal RNA", at positions 2529 to 2925 of the family's 2925-position model. The record is from RNAcentral. Lineage: Bacteria; Pseudomonadati; Pseudomonadota; Gammaproteobacteria; Enterobacterales; Enterobacteriaceae.
AUGUCGGCUCAUCACAUCCUGGGGCUGAAGUAGGUCCCAAGGGUAUGGCUGUUCGCCAUUUAAAGUGGUACGCGAGCUGGGUUUAGAACGUCGUGAGACAGUUCGGUCCCUAUCUGCCGUGGGCGCUGGAGAAUUGAGGGGGGCUGCUCCUAGUACGAGAGGACCGGAGUGGACGCAUCACUGGUGUUCGGGUUGUCAUGCCAAUGGCACUGCCCGGUAGCUAAAUGCGGAAGAGAUAAGUGCUGAAAGCAUCUAAGCACGAAACUUGCCCCGAGAUGAGUUCUCCCUGAGACUAUAAGUCUCCUGAAGGAACGUUGAAGACGACGACGUUGAUAGGUCAGGUGUGUAAGCGCAGCGAUGCGUUGAGCUAACCGAUACUAAUGAACCGUGAGGCUUAACCUU